This is a non-coding RNA of Leptonychotes weddellii (Weddell seal), 313 nucleotides long. Lineage: Eukaryota; Metazoa; Chordata; Mammalia; Carnivora; Phocidae. The record is from RefSeq and is a predicted model, not a curated record.
GCCUCGUUGCAUCCAAGAGAGCAAGAUGGGUCACCAGCAGCUGUACUGGAGCCAUCCGAGGAAAUUUGGCCAGGGUUCUCGUUCUUGCCACGUCUGCUCAAGCCGGCACGGUCUCAUCCGGAAAUACGGCCUCAAUGUGUGCUGCCAAUGUUUACGUCAGUACGCGAAGGAUAUAGGCUUCAUUAAGUUGGAUUAAGUGAACUUCCUUGAAUUGGUCGUCCAGGAUAACUUACCUUAACUGCAGAUAUCCAAGAUACCUACUUUAAUGCCAACUCAUUGUACAUGAAAUAAAAAUACUUCAAUUAUGAGUGUU